This is a long non-coding RNA of Carassius gibelio (silver crucian carp), 1175 nucleotides long. RefSeq lists it as uncharacterized. The record is from RefSeq and is a predicted model, not a curated record. The transcript has 3 exons. NCBI's taxonomy places the organism in Eukaryota, Metazoa, Chordata, Actinopteri, Cypriniformes, Cyprinidae.
GGAACCAAAAUUCGGGAAGUGUUUCCGCCCGGACCGGAAAAACAGAACACCGGAACUUCCGGUAGCGCCGUAAGAGGGAAAAUCAGGGAAUUCGAUGCACCUGUGCCUAGUUAGGGACAGCGGUUGGUGAUUGGAGGAUACGCUGGACAAGGCAGUACUUAAGGCCAAGUUAUUUCACAGUCUGGGAGCUCUUUCUGGCUGGAAUUGUAUGAUUGUGAAGACAUCGCGAACCUUAAAGGUUGAGAAGUGAACGGAUUAUACGGCGAAUUGAGACGACGUGAAAAAGGGGAUUGGAAGCGGCAUUGAUGUGAGUACUAAGAGCAAGCCGAAAGUGCCCUGUAUAUUGACCUGGCGUUAUGUAGAUCUCUCCAGGAGGAGGAGGGCGGCCCUACCCCUAAUAUAGCGUGGUGGGAGAGCCGAAGGAAUACUUAUUGGAGUAGUCACAACGACGACAUCACUAGCUAGGCCGCAUAUUCCAUCGCCAGACCCGAACCAAGCGAAGUGAAGGAAGACGGGUGUCCUUUUCGUACACUGAGUGUGGUGGGUGAGUCUUCGUGCUGUGAAAACCUAUAAUUUUGACGUGGUGCUGUAUAUUGCUGUGGGUUGCUGUGUAUUGCCGUGUGUCCUGUCAGAUAAACCCCCGCCUUCACGCACUUCGUCGCGGGAGGACAAGGAGACUGCUGGUUCUAGCCUAGUUCAGUACAGUAUAUGUUGUGAGCGUGCUUCAGAUCUCCGGAGAUAGCACGGUACGCUGUGUUCAGCCCAGAGGUGGGAGCUAUUCAAAGCAAACUAACUGUGCUUUGUGUCCAAUCUGAUACCUGUGGAGAGAAAAGGAAAGAGAGAGUGAGUAACACAAGGAGAAACAGAGGAAACCUGUACUUACAGUACGCUGUGUUCAGCCCAGAGGUGAGAGUCAUUCAAAGCAAACUAACUGUGCUAUUGUGCCCAAGUUGAUACCUGUGGAGAGAAAAGGAGAGAGAGUGAAUAACACGAGGAGGAAUAGAGCGAACCCUGUACUUACAGUACGUUGUGUCCAGCCCAGAGGUGAGAGCCAUUCAAAGCAAACUAACUGUGCUAUUGUGCCCAAGUUGAUACCUGUGGAGAGAAAAGGAGAGAGAGUGAAUAACACGAGGAGGAAUAGAGCGAACCCUGUACUUACAGUACGUUGUGUCCAG